Gymnodraco acuticeps is the source of this 418-nucleotide long non-coding RNA. RefSeq lists it as uncharacterized. The record is from RefSeq and is a predicted model, not a curated record. The transcript is spliced from 3 exons. Lineage: Eukaryota; Metazoa; Chordata; Actinopteri; Perciformes; Bathydraconidae.
AGAGGAGGAACGACUGGCCUCAUAGAGCGUACGGAAGAUACAACACAAAGGGACCUUCUGCUUCAGCCUCAGCAACACAGAACAGUUGGUCUCUCUGAAGUAUAAGCAGGUACAAUUCAGAGGGGCCCUCGCGGCUCUGAGCUCACAUACCAGUGCUGCUGUAGAAGGCGAGCCCGAAGGAAGGCUGGAAAUCUUCAACAAAAAACUGAGAAAGCACGAUCUCGUCUGUCCUUAAAGAAUCGUUCCCAUUCUUCCAGUAGAGCAUCAGGUCGUUUUCAUUCUCUCCAGCUCCAGAGAGCAAUUCUGUGUGUCCAGAGGGAAACUACUGAAGUCCAUGGAGCAAAGCGCAGUCACCGUGAUCCUGAAACACAGCUUACACCCUCAUAAAUCAAGCAAGAUGUCAGAAAGUCUAUACAAC